UUUCAUAGUUUUGUAUAAGCUUCCUAGUAAGUUUAAUAUUAGUGUCUUAUAUGAAGUGUAGAGAUUAAUAUUGUAUAAAUAUCUUAUAGUUAUGGCUAAUAUUAUAAACCUAGAUAAUUAUGUGCCAGCAUCUGCGGUCAUACAUAGAGGUUAAAUUUACUUACCCCUACUUGACUUAAUAAAAUUAAUAAAAAUUAAAUAUGUUUUUAGGUUAAAUUAUAUAAUAUAUAAAAUUUUAUAUAAAAAGUUUCUAAUCUGAGUAAAAAACCAGGAUUAGAUACCCUGCUAUGGCAGAAAAGAUUAAAGUAGAAGAUUAUUUUAAUAAAAAAAUUCAAAUUACAUGGCGGCCAGGGAUUCGGAUUAGAUGAAUAUGUCUCUUAAUAGAUACUACCCAUAUAACCGUACUUAGCUUAGAAAAAUUCACUCUUCCCACCGCCGUUUAUAAGUUUAAUAGAUUUUACUUAACAAUUAGUCGUUAAUCUAAAAAAAUCAGGUAAAGGUGAAGGUAAUAGCUAUAGACGAGAUGUAUUACAACUUAAAUAUAACUGGACAAUUUCUUGUAAAGAAAUUGGAAAGAGAAUUUAAUAGUAAUAAAUUUUCAUGAUAGCUUUAUGAAUUCGAGCCCCCUUUUGCACAAAUCGCCCGUCAUUCCCAAUUCAAUUUUGGGACAAGUCGAAACAAAGUGGAAGUACUGGAAAGUGAUUCCCUAAAU
Molecule: non-coding RNA, 712 nt
Filed under: Colpocephalum griffoneae
Lineage: Eukaryota; Metazoa; Arthropoda; Insecta; Psocodea; Menoponidae
Source: RNAcentral